This 257-nucleotide ribosomal RNA is filed under the name uncultured prokaryote. Its description in RNAcentral is "partial 16S ribosomal RNA". It matches the Rfam family "Bacterial small subunit ribosomal RNA", at positions 524 to 780 of the family's 1533-position model. The record is from RNAcentral.
UACGGAGGAUGCAAGCGUUAUCCGGAUUUAUUGGGUUUAAAGGGUGCGCAGGUUGUUUGAUAAGUCAGUGGUGAAAGUCUGUCGCUUAACGGUAGGAUUGCCAUUGAUACUGUUAGACUUGAAUAUAGUUGAGGUAGGCGGAAUGUGCAGUGUAGCGGUGAAAUGCUUAGAUAUUACACAGAACACCAAUUGCGAAGGCAGCUUACUAAGCUGUUACUGACGCUGAGCCACGAAAGCGUGGGGAGCAAACAGAAUUA